CCUAACCUAAUGUCUAAAAUUGUUCUAACGAAACUAAGCACUCUCAAAUAUGGAUUCGCCUUAAGCCAACUCUCGAGAUAACCAUCUACCAUUUUCUAAACCAUGUAUUAUGCAGAGGCAGUCGUGCAAUUAGAAAUCGCUUAGCCAGCAUCUAUCCAGCGUCUCAGGGUUGCCACUUACGAUUGACAAAGAGAUAAGUACGUGAGAACCAGUGGCCAUAUUUGAAAACGGGGCUUAAUAUGUCGAACAGGGUCACCCGUGACGCGUGGUGAAACGUUUUUGACUGUAUUUAGAUCGUCCAUCCUGGAAUGUCGAUAUCUCCAACAUAAGAAAAAAAAAGUCUCGAAACGCACACAGACUAGCUUAAUUAAAGCCGUGUUUCCAUAUAACGCGUGUUUUAAGGUCAGAUCGAAACUGGCGGCGGGAAAACGAGCACCGCGAAAAGGAUGUCACGAGGAUAUGUCAGAGUAGCAAGGUCGUUGUCAUCCGACAUCCCAGGUUGUUCACAUUCAAGGACCUUUCCACCAGCGUUUCAUCGCGCUUAUAGGACGAUGGUAUCGAUUCUAGCACGGGGAGCAAAGAACAUGUGAAACGUGACUACGUUGCGUGAGAUACUGCGAUACUCACUAGAUCCUAGUUACUUUCUCCCUACGCUAGUUACUUUUCAUCGAACACUAAACGGAACUUCUAACAUCUACAUAAUAUACACUCAGUGUAAGAAGUACUCGUACAGCAGCUAAAUUUAACAACCUAAGGAUAACUUUCGAAAAGAAAAAGAAUGCGACGAAACGUCGCUUAACUGUACAAAUAGAAAAAUAGAGAAACGCUAAUGUUAUCAAUGUCGUUUGCUUAAAAGUAAACUUAUGACAUUAAAUCAGCUGUUCCUUUAAAAAGUUGAACGUUUAUCGUGUAUCCAGAUAAUAAAGUUACGAAAUUUAUACGAAAAGUGGAAUUUCGAUCAGUUUGGCAAUCUGAUAUGUGUAAUAACCAGCCUUGAGAUCAUCGAGGACAGGAUUUCUGAAGCACGCAAAAUCGCGUGAGCAAAGAGGCUCCUCCUCGGUGCUCGUUGAAGAGUAACAACCAACCGGCUGGGAUAUUCAACAAAGUGGUUUCGAUGGACGUUUUGUGUCUCGCGCGUGGUAUCGCAUGCGCGCGCAUCUUCGCCCCAUCCUUUUGAACAACUCUCGUUGAAUUAUCGAUCGACGUUAAAAACAACGCUGCAACAGAGAGGAGCCGUGUAGAAUUUUCGCGUAUGCAUCCGUCAUCCUUUGUCGUUCGAUUAAUCAAAAUUUUCGUUGGUUAGCCAGGACUCAUUAACGGGCGACGUUGCUCACCCAUUAAGAUCAGCCUGGAUACAAAUCGAUCUGUCGAGGGAUAACAACGUACACGUGAUUUAAUCGUAGCUGUUUAUCUCCAACAGCCGGUUACUACACAGUGUAGGUUAGGUUACCACGCUCUUGAGUUUAGGUAUUUUUUAUAGAAAUCCUCGUAUUUUCUUGGCUAUUGGUUCUUUGGCCUCGCUUGUACAAUUUAAUUAAUAUUAUUACUUUUGUUGCUAGAAAUUUGAAAUAAAUUUGACAGCGAUAGAUUUCAUGGAAUGCGUAUAGUAAUCGAAAUCUUCGUUUUCGAAUAACUGUUGGUCCUCUGGACCAUCUUACACAAUUGCAACGUCAUUAGUGACUAUGUUGUAUAAUAUACUUAAAACUAGAAUUACAAGUCUUUGAAGAAGAAGAAAAAGAAGAAGAAGAACAAGUCUUGAUACAUACACAUAAGCUCGUCCCUAAUCGAGGCCAGUGAUCGACCCAUUUCACAAUGUAAUUCAGUUUCUAAGGGAAUUAAAAGCCAGGAAGCACAUGUAUUACAAUAUGAACUGACACUUUAACUUACUACUACCAAUGUAACAGUGACACGGUGUAGCAGUCACUGAACUAUUACUAGUUUUCUAGACCUUAAUAACCAAUAACGCUACCUAAUUAGCUAAUCAGUAAAUUGAUUGAAAUGGUAAAGCUGUAGCAAUAUGUAGCUUUAUCCUAACAAAGGCGUGAAAUUAUGCGAUAAUAUAUCUUAUGGGAGUAGAAAUCGAUUGGAGAGAAGACAGGUGAAGGAUGGACCAAUUAUUCAUGACGGAUGUUGUCAUUAAAAAAAAUGGCUCGCAAGAAAACCGGGUACCUUACUCCUGCUGGCCAUAUCGGGAACUUCAGACUCACUCGGCGACGAUCAUUGAAUCCUGAGCAGCGGCACGGCUCAUAAAAAUGCAUCGGAUCUCCUCGAGAAAGUUUCACGAAAGUCAGCGUGGAAAAAGAGCGAGAUUUCAGGAUGAUCGGCUGGCAAAAGUGUGUCACCAGUCGUCGAACGAAAAUAAUUGCCUUAUCAGAGGCCGUGAAGGCGUACGUAGCCUCAUCCACACUUGACAAUUCGCCUUGAUACCAGUGUUCACCUUGAUCCACUGCUCCCUAUAUAUACAUUAUCUUGUCGAGACAAACAACACCUAAGAUUUCUCAUGAUCAUGAUAAAAUCAGUUGAAUAUUAACACCUCAUGUAAAACCUUAAUGUUUGUGCAUAAAAUGGUAUAACGUUAUGCUCCCUCUUAUGCAGCAAUUCAUAAGCAACAGUAUUUAUUUAUAGCAACAGCGUUCCAAAUAAUUAGCAUGUCAGAUGCAGAUCAUAUACUUUUUUGCACGAACAGUUUUCUCAACAUGUUGCAAUAGUUUGUGAUCGAUGCAAGACCUAUUGGGGACAUUUAGUGUCCACAUGUUCCACCGUGUCUAUCGCUUGUGGCUUAUACAGAGGUAAUGUUGGGAUGUACAUCAGCACGUAAGACAUUAUACAAUGAAAAAGCAACAUUUCUUAAUUUUUCCACCUACGGACUUGCCUAUGAAAAAUCUGUAAUUCUUUCAGUAUCUGCGUCAAGCUGUGAUGACAAAAUGACCAGUUCAUAAUCUUCCCUACAUAGAGAAAUUUUAUUAGGACAUUUAAAUAGUGUUUGGUAAAAUACAGGAGCGUUAAGCUUCGUCUCAUCUAACUAUAACUGGUAUAACUGGACGUGUCUCUGUCUGGUUUGCAGCUGGUGAAAAUUGAAGAUAAGUCGAGUCUCGUUAGAGCUUACAGCUUCUACCUACCUCGCAGACAGAGGCUAACUUUCUUUCAACUUUUUUCACCCUACGAUUCACCUAACCCAAACAGCUUUUCUUCUGGCCGAAGAGAAGUUUCUCCUCGACUGAAUAUGGCGAUCAAACAGUUUCUUUUUCCCCGCUUUCCCCUUGUACGAUAAACGUGACCCUGACCUCGACACACCAGUCUAUACCGGCAAGCCAGCGAUUAGUCUGGACAUAAAUUAAUGCUGCACAACCUACCAGAAAUUGUCCGCAAGCGUGACAACCACACUUUUGCUUCCAUCGUGCUUUCCAAUCAUAAAAAUAUGAUCGUUGACGCUGGUAGCUAAAGCAAUUCUAUUAUUACUCGCACUUUUUAUUACGCUGUUUGUUCCUUAGACUCUGCAGUUAAUCGUAGAAUAGAUUUAUAGAUCUGUUACUCUUGCUUUCGUGACUUUUAUUAGCUUUGUUGAGAUUAGUUACUGAAAUCGUUUUAGGGUUAGUCGAGAGUUGUAAAUUUAUUGAGCUCGGAGGGUACAACUAUAGAUUUAUAGGUUCUCAUCUGAUAAAACUUCCUCCUGUGUUUCUUCUCAAUGUUUUAACGAUAUCCCAACGAUUCUCCAUGAUUUAAUCGCUCUUUCAAAUUUCCAAUUAGAGCCAGCAUGAAACUCGUCAAGUCCAUACGUUAGAUUGCCUAUUUAUACAUUAAAUCAUUAUCAGAUAGUUUGUGCCGAAGCGCUUGAAAAAUUCCUCUCAAGAUUCCAGAUCUUUCCAAAGUUAUUUCGAAUACUCUAACCUUUAAAAAUCCUUUAGCCUAUUCUCAAUAACACGGUUUACGAACCAGUACUACCAACAUUCUCUGGAACACUUCCAAGAUGUGAAAAGCAAUCUGUUUCAAGUCCACGUUAAGGCCUAUUUUCAACAGAUCGAUAUAAUAAGAUAAAGAAAGCUUUCGAGGAAUUUUUAUACAACAAAAUUUUCUCAUUUGUGCUUAUAGAAACUACGAACAAUAUUUAAAACGUGAAAAAUUGAAGCAGUCUGCAUAUCUCGACAGAAAUUAGAAGAAUUAUAUUAGAAGAAACUCUAACCUAACCUUAAGAGUUUUCAAACCUAACCUUAAGAAGUUUCUAACCUAACCAUAAGACAAUUCUCGGUAACACAGGUUAGGAACCAAUGCCAGCAAACUUUUCUAUAGCAUUUUCAAUUGUGAUAAGAUUUGAAAAGUAAUCUAAUUAGGUUGUCCGAAAAGUGUAAUUUAAAUAACCAAUACACAUAGACAAAAACUAAAAAAUACUACAUAUUAGAAGAAAUUUCUAAUUUCAGAAAGUGUUGUAUAUUGGAAAGGCGAGUCAGAAGUUCAAGGAGGGAUAUACUUUGGAAUACCAACAGACAGUUGGCCAUAAUGACCGCGAGAAGGAUUGAUUCGGCGGCUGACGCGAUGAAAAAUGUUGGAAAGCGAUGCAACAAUGUUUCUUUGGACCGAAGACGAAGUGGUGUGUUGGAUGGUAGAUGGCUGAACAUAAUUUUUGACCGUCUGCUGCCCGGUUUAAGAAAGUCAUGCCUAUUAGCCGCCAUUAAGGCCACCCUGCGGAAAGUCGGUUCCCCGAGGGAAGGAAAGGCGACGUCGCUCUCCAUUUUUACUUUCCUGCGCGAGCUGGAGGGAGAAAGUAACGUGAAACUGACGAAUGACGCUUGGUUUCCCAGAACUUACUUCUCCAUAAAUACGUACUUGAAAAAAGCCAAUUAACGAUUGCAUUCGUACGUUGUAGAACAUUUUUAUCUCAACAUGUUGCACAGUUCUAUCAAA
Long non-coding RNA from Bombus terrestris (buff-tailed bumblebee), 4899 nucleotides. RefSeq lists it as uncharacterized. The transcript is spliced from 3 exons. The record is from RefSeq and is a predicted model, not a curated record. NCBI's taxonomy places the organism in Eukaryota, Metazoa, Arthropoda, Insecta, Hymenoptera, Apidae.